CGGACGGGUGAGUAACGCGUGGGUAACCUGCCUUGUACAGGGGGAUAACAGUUGGAAACGGCUGCUAAUACCGCAUAAGCGCACGGCAUCGCAUGAUGCAGUGUGAAAAACUCCGGUGGUAUAAAAUGGACCCGCGUUGGAUUAGCUAGUUGGUGAGGUAACGGCCCACCAAGGCGACGAUCCAUAGCCGACCUGAGAGGGUGACCGGCCACACUGGGACUGAGACACGGCCCAA
This 235-nucleotide ribosomal RNA is filed under the name uncultured bacterium. RNAcentral's name for it is "partial 16S ribosomal RNA". It matches the Rfam family "Bacterial small subunit ribosomal RNA", at positions 99 to 334 of the family's 1533-position model. The record is from RNAcentral.